UACAGAGGGGCCAAGCGUUAGUCGGAAUCACUGGGCUUAAAGCGCUUGCAGGCGGCUUGUUAAGUUCCGUGUGAAAUCCCCAGGCUUAACCUGGGAAGUGCGCGGAAAACUGGCGAGCUUGAGUGCCGGAGAGGGUCGCGGAAUUCCCGGUGUAGAGGUGAAAUUCGUAGAUAUCGGGAGGAACACCAGUGGCGAAGGCGGCGACCUGGGCGGACACUGACGCUGAGGCGCGAAAGCGUGGGGAGCGAACAGG
This 253-nucleotide ribosomal RNA is filed under the name uncultured bacterium. RNAcentral describes it as "partial 16S ribosomal RNA". It matches the Rfam family "Bacterial small subunit ribosomal RNA", at positions 524 to 776 of the family's 1533-position model. The record is from RNAcentral.